Long non-coding RNA from Sorex araneus (European shrew), 694 nucleotides. RefSeq lists it as uncharacterized. Lineage: Eukaryota; Metazoa; Chordata; Mammalia; Eulipotyphla; Soricidae. The record is from RefSeq and is a predicted model, not a curated record. The transcript has 3 exons.
GGAUCUUUACUUGUUUGCUUCUCCGGUCGCACUCUGCUGUGCUCAGGGAUCUCUCCUGACAGGCUCCGGGGAACAUCCAGUGCUGGGGAUUGAAACUAGGUCAGCUGCCUGGUACUCCCUCCAGCCCCUAAGCCGACACAUUUUUGCUUGUUUAAUGCAUUCUGUGAGACUGUUUCCUACCAGUGACAUCCACCAGCCUGAGAAACGCUGUGAGGAAUGAAGAAGGGAUGCAGUGUCUGCUCUCGGGGACCUGCGGGCCCAGUAAGAGGACCUCAGACUCUGCCCAGCCCAGCGAGGGGGGUCCUGUGCGUUACAGGUACACUGCUCCGCGUGGCUCGCACCCAGCCGCCAUGGACAGCAACCGUGCAAAAUCGCCCCUAACCAGUUCCAUGUGGGCUGUCCAUCUGCAGUCUCACUGGAGAAAACAAAACAUCAUUUAAACAAAAGGUGGCCUUGAACUUAAUCUAUCAAAACACCAGUGAGUUUGAAAAGUUUUCAGUUCUGAACAAACUGCCAAGACAUGCAACAGCAAUUUUCCAAGUGGGGCCCUACACCUCGACGGCGGCAGAUGCACUCGCUCCUCAAACAUCUGCCCGUGCUCCGAGCAGGCGCGGUGUCGGCUCUGGAGGGCCGAAAACAAAAAAUUCUGAGAACUGAAGUCUCGGUGCGUUGAAGCUUCAUCUCUGGAACCAGA